This 1392-nucleotide ribosomal RNA is filed under the name uncultured marine bacterium. Its description in RNAcentral is "16S ribosomal RNA". It matches the Rfam family "Bacterial small subunit ribosomal RNA". The record is from RNAcentral.
ACGCUGGCGGCACGCCUAACACAUGCAAGUCGAACGAAGUAGCAAUACUUAGUGGCAGACGGGUGAGUAACAUGUAGGUAUCUGCCCUUUGGCCUGGAAUAACACGAGGAAACUUGUGCUAAUACCGGAUAAGUCUUUACGGAGAAAGCUUUAUGCACCAUUGGAUGAGCCUGCACUUGAUUAGUUUGUUGGUGGGGUAAUGGCCUACCAAGACUGUGAUCAAUAGCUGAUUUGAGAGGAUGAUCAGCCACAUUGGGACUGAGACACGGCCCAAACUCCUACGGGAGGCAGCAGUGGGGAAUCUUGCACAAUGGAGGAAACUCUGAUGCAGCGAUGCCGCGUGAGUGAAGAAGGCCUUUGGGUUGUAAAGCUCUUUCGUCGGGGAAGAAAAUGACUGUACCCGAAUAAGAAGGUCCGGCUAACUUCGUGCCAGCAGCCGCGGUAAUACGAAGGGACCUAGCGUAGUUCGGAAUUACUGGGCUUAAAGAGUUCGUAGGUGGUUGAAAAAGUUGGUGGUGAAAUCCCAGAGCUUAACUCUGGAACUGCCAUCAAAACUUUUCAGCUAGAGUAUGAUAGAGGAAAGCAGAAUUUCUAGUGUAGAGGUGAAAUUCGUAGAUAUUAGAAAGAAUACCAAUUGCGAAGGCAGCUUUCUGGAUCAUUACUGACACUGAGGAACGAAAGCAUGGGUAGCGAAGAGGAUUAGAUACCCUCGUAGUCCAUGCCGUAAACGAUGUGUGUUAGACGUUGGAAAUUUAUUUUCAGUGUCGCAGCGAAAGCGAUAAACACACCGCCUGGGGAGUACGACCGCAAGGUUAAAACUCAAAUGAAUUGACGGGGACCCGCACAAGUAGUGGAGCAUGUGGCUUAAUUCGAAGAUACGCGCAGAACCUUACCAACACUUGACAUGUUCGUCGCGACUUUAAGAGAUUAGAGUUUUCGGUUCGGCCGGACGAAACACAGGUGCUGCAUGGCUGUCGUCAGCUCGUGUCGUGAGAUGUUGGGUUAAGUCCCGCAACGAGCGCAACCCUCACUUUUAGUUGCCAUCAUUAAGUUGGGCACUCUGAAAGAACUGCCAGUGAUAAGCUGGAGGAAGGUGGGGAUGACGUCAAGUCCUCAUGGCCCUUACGUGUUGGGCUACACACGUGCUACAAUGGUAUCUACAACAGGAAGCAAAACUGCGAGGUUAAGCAAAUCCUCAAAAGAUACCUCAGUUCGGAUUGCACUCUGCAACUCGAGUGCAUGAAGCUGGAAUUACUAGUAAUCGUGGAUCAGCGUGCCACGGUGAAUGCGUUCCCGGGUCUUGUACACACCGCCCGUCACACCAUGGGAGUUGGUUCUACCUUAAGGCAAGGUUUCAAACCCUUGACCACGGUAUAGUCAGCGACUGGGGUG